RNAcentral lists this unclassified non-coding RNA (381 nucleotides) under uncultured bacterium. RNAcentral describes it as "contains 16S-23S intergenic spacer region". The record is from RNAcentral.
UCCAGUUUAUCACUAGCAGUCUUCCUAGAGUGCCCACCAUGACGUGAUGGCAACUAAGAACAAAGGUUGCGCUCGUUGCGGGACUUAACCCAACACUUCACAGCACGAGCUGACGACAGCCAUGCAGCACCUGUGUAAUUGUUUCUUGCGAAAAGACCAACUUUCAUCGGCUUGUCAAAUACAUGUCAAGCCUGGGUAAGGUUCUUCGCGUAGCCUCGAAUUAAACCACAUGCUCCACCGCUUGUGCGGGUCCCCGUCAAUUUCUUUGAGUUUCAGUCUUGCGACCGUACUUCCCAGGUGGUGGAUUAAAUGCGUUAGCUGCGGCACUGAGGGGAUCGACACCCCCAACACCUAAUCCACAUCGUUUACGGCAAGGACUAC